This 197-nucleotide unclassified non-coding RNA is filed under the name uncultured Pleosporales. RNAcentral describes it as "sequence contains ITS1". The record is from RNAcentral. Lineage: Eukaryota; Fungi; Ascomycota; Dothideomycetes; Pleosporales.
AAUGGCGUGCGAUCCGCAUGCGGACGCGCCCGGGCUCCGGUCUCGAGGCGUGGUCGCGUGCGGCUCCUUCGCUCUAUACCCUUGCCUAUUUGUACCCUCUUGUUGUUUCCUCGGCGAGUUCUGACUCGCCGGCGGGAAUUUUAUAAACCUCUUGCAGUAGUAUCCAAUCAUUCUGAUCAAAAAGUCUUAAAUCGUUA